Molecule: transfer RNA, 83 nt
Filed under: Isoptericola cucumis
Lineage: Bacteria; Bacillati; Actinomycetota; Actinomycetes; Micrococcales; Promicromonosporaceae
Description: tRNA-Gly
Source: RNAcentral
UCACCGGCCUGGCCGCCUGGAAGGCGGCGACGUUCCCGACGCCGCUCGCCUGGGGGGCGUCGUUCGACCCCGAGCUGGUGGCC